Molecule: ribosomal RNA, 677 nt
Filed under: uncultured archaeon
Lineage: Archaea
Description: bacterial SSU rRNA
Rfam family: Archaeal small subunit ribosomal RNA
Source: RNAcentral
UUUCCGGUUGAUCCCGCCGGAGGCUACCGCUAUUGGAGUUCGAUUAAGCCAUGCGAGUCGCGAGUCUUAGGGACUCGGCGUACCGCUCAGUAACACGUGGGUAACCCGCCCUAUGCUGGGGGAUAACCUCGGGAAACUGAGAAUAAUACCCCAUAGUUCACCACGCCUGGAACGGUGGGUGGAUCAAAGCUCCGGCGGCAUAGGAUGGGUCUGCGGCGUAUCAGGUUGUAGGGGGUGUAAUGUACCCUCUAGCCCUCUACGCGUACGGGUGCUGAGAGACGUCGCCCGGAGAUGGACUCUGAGACACGAAUCCAGACCCCACGGGGUGCAGCAGGCGCGAAAACUUGGCAAUGCGAGAAAUCGUAACCAGGGAACUCCAAGUGCAUCGGGUAAGACCGAUGCUUUUCUUGACUCUUCAAAGGUCUUGGAAUAAGGGGUGGGUAAGGACGGUGCCAGCCGCCGCGGUAAUACCGGCGCCCCAAGUGGUAGUCGCUUUUAUUGGGCCUAAAACGUCCGUAGCCGGUCUGGUGCAUUCGUGGGUAAAUCAACCAGCUCAACUGGUUGAAUUCUGCGAGCACGGCCAGACUUGGGACCGGGAGAGGUGUGGGGUACUCUCAGGGUAGGGGUAAAAUCCUGUCAUCCUGAGGGGACCACCUGUUGCGAAGGCGCCACACUAG